RNAcentral lists this long non-coding RNA (314 nucleotides) under Mustela putorius furo (domestic ferret). Its description in RNAcentral is "lncRNA (ENSMPUG00000023849.1)". Lineage: Eukaryota; Metazoa; Chordata; Mammalia; Carnivora; Mustelidae. The record is from RNAcentral.
AGUAUGUCUUGCCUGCUGACGUUGCUCCCUCCCAUGCUGUGCUUGUGACAUCAGAUGUUCUGGGCCAGGAACUGGAUGAAGCAACAGAAUGCACCGGGAGGUUCGGUCACGGGUCCCAAGUCACACAGCAAGUAAUUAGCAGAGAAGAAAUUCGAACCCGUGAUGCUGACUCAGAAUCUGACUCGAGAACAUGCAGGUCCUUAAAAGUAAACCUGAAACUAUGUAAAAUUACAUACUACAUGGAAAUAAUUGUAUAAGGCUUGGGUGGUGGAAUUUUAAUUAUGGUGUUUUCCUUUCCUUUCCUUUUAUUUUCU